Molecule: non-coding RNA, 30 nt
Filed under: Mus musculus (house mouse)
Lineage: Eukaryota; Metazoa; Chordata; Mammalia; Rodentia; Muridae
Source: RNAcentral
UAGAUGGCACCUGCAUUUUCAAUGAUGUUG